RNAcentral lists this ribosomal RNA (392 nucleotides) under Aplanochytrium sp. RNAcentral describes it as "partial small subunit ribosomal RNA". It matches the Rfam family "Eukaryotic small subunit ribosomal RNA", at positions 582 to 975 of the family's 1831-position model. The record is from RNAcentral. Lineage: Eukaryota; Bigyra; Thraustochytrida; Thraustochytriidae.
AUUCCAGCUCCAAUAGCGUAUAUUAAAGUUGUUGCAGUUAAAAAGCUCGUAGUUGGAUUUCUGGUAGGAGCGACCGUGCCGAACUUGAUUGUUCGUGUAUUGUGUUGUCUUCAGCCAUCCUCGUGGAGAACUUUUCUAACAUUAACCUGUUGGGAUUGGGACCCGCGUCGUUUACUGUGAAAAAAUUAGAGUGUUUAAAGCAGGCAUUAGCUUGAAUACAUUAGCAUGGAAUAAUAAGAUAGGACUUUGGUACUAUUUUGUUGGUUUGCAUACCAAAUUAAUGAUCAACAGGAACAGUUUGAGGAUAUUCGUAUGAACAUGUCAGAGGUGAAAUUCUUGGAUUUUGAUCAGACGAACUACUGCGAAAGCAUUUAUCAAGGAUGUUUUCAUCA